AGAGUUUGAUCCUGGCUCAGGACGAACGCUGGCGGCGUGCCUAAUACAUGCAAGUCGAGCGGACAGAAGGGAGCUUGCUCCCGGAUGUUAGCGGCGGACGGGUGAGUAACACGUGGGUAACCUGCCUGUAAGACUGGGAUAACUCCGGGAAACCGGAGCUAAUACCGGAUAGUUCCUUGAACCGCAUGGUUCAAGGAUGAAAGACGGUUUCGGCUGUCACUUACAGAUGGACCCGCGGCGCAUUAGCUAGUUGGUGAGGUAACGGCUCACCAAGGCGACGAUGCGUAGCCGACCUGAGAGGGUGAUCGGCCACACUGGGACUGAGACACGGCCCAGACUCCUACGGGAGGCAGCAGUAGGGAAUCUUCCGCAAUGGACGAAAGUCUGACGGAGCAACGCCGCGUGAGUGAUGAAGGUUUUCGGAUCGUAAAGCUCUGUUGUUAGGGAAGAACAAGUGCAAGAGUAACUGCUUGCACCUUGACGGUACCUAACCAGAAAGCCACGGCUAACUACGUGCCAGCAGCCGCGGUAAUACGUAGGUGGCAAGCGUUGUCCGGAAUUAUUGGGCGUAAAGGGCUCGCAGGCGGUUUCUUAAGUCUGAUGUGAAAGCCCCCGGCUCAACCGGGGAGGGUCAUUGGAAACUGGGAAACUUGAGUGCAGAAGAGGAGAGUGGAAUUCCACGUGUAGCGGUGAAAUG
This 697-nucleotide ribosomal RNA is filed under the name Bacillus sp. SB16.2. RNAcentral describes it as "bacterial SSU rRNA". It matches the Rfam family "Bacterial small subunit ribosomal RNA", at positions 8 to 688 of the family's 1533-position model. The record is from RNAcentral. Lineage: Bacteria; Bacillati; Bacillota; Bacilli; Caryophanales; Bacillaceae.